Molecule: ribosomal RNA, 458 nt
Filed under: uncultured bacterium
Lineage: Bacteria
Description: partial 16S ribosomal RNA
Rfam family: Bacterial small subunit ribosomal RNA
Source: RNAcentral
CCUACGGGUGGCAGCAGUGGGGAAUAUUGCACAAUGGGGGAAACCCUGAUGCAGCGACGCCGCGUGAGUGAAGAAGUAAUUCGUUACGUAAAGCUCUAUCAGCAGGGAAGAAACACUGACCUUACGGUCAGCAGACGGUACCUGAGUAAGAAGCCCCGGCUAACUACGUGCCAGCAGCCGCGGUAAUACGUAGGGGGCAAGCGUUAUCCGGAUUUACUGGGUGUAAAGGGAGCGUAGACGGCAGCACAAGUCUGGAGUGAAAUCCCGGGGCUUAACCCCGGCACUGCUUUGGAAACUGGGCAGCUGGAGUGCAGGAGGGGUAAGCGGAAUUCCUAGUGUAGCGGUGAAAUGCGUAGAUAUUAGGAGGAACACCGGUGGCGAAGGCGGCUUACUGGACUGUAACUGACGUUGAGGCUCGAAAGCGUGGGGAGCAAACAGGAUUAGAUACCCUUGUAGUC